RNAcentral lists this ribosomal RNA (253 nucleotides) under uncultured bacterium. Its description in RNAcentral is "partial 16S ribosomal RNA". It matches the Rfam family "Bacterial small subunit ribosomal RNA", at positions 524 to 776 of the family's 1533-position model. The record is from RNAcentral.
UACAGAGGGCGCUAGCGUUGCUCGGAUUCAUUGGGCGUAAAGGGCGCGUAGGCGGCGUGGUAAGUCGGGUGUGAAAUCUCGGGGCUUAACUCCGGAACUGCAUUCGAUACUGCCGUGCUUGAGGACUGGAGAGGAGACUGGAAUUUACGGUGUAGCGGUGAAAUGCGUAGAUAUCGUAAGGAAGACCAGUGGCGAAGGCGGGUCUCUGGACAGUUCCUGACGCUGAGGCACGAAAGCCAGGGGAGCAAACAGG